RNAcentral lists this ribosomal RNA (492 nucleotides) under uncultured bacterium. Its description in RNAcentral is "partial 16S ribosomal RNA". It matches the Rfam family "Bacterial small subunit ribosomal RNA", at positions 29 to 507 of the family's 1533-position model. The record is from RNAcentral.
AGUGAACGCUGGCGGUAGGCCUAACACAUGCAAGUCGAACGGCAGCACAGUAAGAGCUUGCUCUUACGGGUGGCGAGUGGCGGACGGGUGAGGAAUACAUCGGAAUCUACUUUUUCGUGGGGGAUAACGUAGGGAAACUUACGCUAAUACCGCAUACGACCUACGGGUGAAAGCAGGGGAUCUUCGGACCUUGCGCGAUUGAAUGAGCCGAUGUCGGAUUAGCUAGUUGGCGGGGUAAAGGCCCACCAAGGCGACGAUCCGUAGCUGGUCUGAGAGGAUGAUAAGCCACAUUGGAACUGGGACACGGUCCAGACUCCUACGGGAGGCAGCAGUGGGGAAUAUUGGACAAUGGGCGCAAGCCUGAUCCAGCCAUACCGCGUGGGUGAAGAAGGCCUUCGGGUUGUAAAGCCCUUUUGUUGGGAAAGAAAAGCAGCAGGUUAAUACCCCGCUGUUCUGACGGUACCCAAAGAAUAAGCACCGGCUAACUUCGUG